AGAGUUUGAUCCUGGCUCAGGAUGAACGCUAGCGACAGGCUUAACACAUGCAAGUCGAGGGGCAGCAGGGGAGUAGCAAUACUCCCGCUGGCGACCGGCGCACGGGUGAGUAACACGUAUGCAACCUGCCCUUGUCAGGGGGAUAAGCGGGAGAAAUUCCGUCUAAUACCGCAUAAUACCUUAUGGGGACAUCCUCAUGAGGUCAAAGAUUUAUCGGACAAGGAUGGGCAUGCGUCGCAUUAGUUAGUUGGCGGUGUAACGGACCACCAAGACGACGAUGCGUAGAGGUUCUGAGAGGAAGGUCCCCCACACUGGUACUGAGACACGGACCAGACUCCUACGGGAGGCAGCAGUGAGGAAUAUUGGUCAAUGGGCGGGAGCCUGAACCAGCCAAGUCGCGUGAGGGAAGACGGUCCUAAGGAUUGUAAACCUCUUUUGUCAGGGAGCAAGGACUGCCACGAGUGGCAGGGCGAGAGUACCUGAAGAAAAAGCAUCGGCUAACUCCGUGCCAGCAGCCGCGGUAAUACGGAGGAUGCGAGCGUUAUCCGGAUUUAUUGGGUUUAAAGGGUGCGCAGGCGGGAUGUCAAGUCAGCGGUCAAAUCGAGGGGCUCAACCCCUUUCCGCCGUUGAAACUGGCGUCCUAGAGUGGGCGAGAAGUACGCGGAAUGCGUGGUGUAGCGGUGAAAUGCAUAGAUAUCACGCAGAAACUCCGAUUGCGAAAGGCAGCGUACCGGCGCCCAACUGACGCUCAUGCACGAAAGCGUGGGUAUCGAACAGGAUUAGAUACCCUGGUAGUCCACGCAGUAAACGAUGAAUACUAACUGUCCGGCCCGAUCGGGGGCUGGGCGGUACAGCGAAAGCGUUAAGUAUUCCACCUGGGGAGUACGCCGGCAACGGUGAAACUCAAAGGAAUUGACGGGGGCCCGCACAAGCGGAGGAACAUGUGGUUUAAUUCGAUGAUACGCGAGGAACCUUACCCGGGCUCAAACGACGGAUGAAUGUUUUUGAAAGGAGGCAGCCCUUCGGGGCAUCCGUCGAGGUGCUGCAUGGUUGUCGUCAGCUCGUGCCGUGAGGUGUCGGCUUAAGUGCCAUAACGAGCGCAACCCCCAUCGCCAGUUACCAGCAAGUGAAGUUGGGGACUCUGGCGAGACUGCCGGCGCAAGCUGUGAGGAAGGCGGGGAUGACGUCAAAUCAGCACGGCCCUUACGUCCGGGGCGACACACGUGUUACAAUGGCAGGUACAGAGAGAUGCCACCUGGCGACAGAGAGCAGAGCUCGAAAGCCUGUCUCAGUUCGGAUCGGAGUCUGCAACCCGACUCCGUGAAGCUGGAUUCGCUAGUAAUCGCGCAUCAGCCAUGGCGCGGUGAAUACGUUCCCGGGCCUUGUACUCACC
This 1393-nucleotide ribosomal RNA is filed under the name uncultured bacterium. Its description in RNAcentral is "16S ribosomal RNA". It matches the Rfam family "Bacterial small subunit ribosomal RNA". The record is from RNAcentral.